This 850-nucleotide ribosomal RNA is filed under the name Mycolicibacterium cosmeticum. Its description in RNAcentral is "bacterial SSU rRNA". It matches the Rfam family "Bacterial small subunit ribosomal RNA", at positions 56 to 918 of the family's 1533-position model. Lineage: Bacteria; Bacillati; Actinomycetota; Actinomycetes; Mycobacteriales; Mycobacteriaceae. The record is from RNAcentral.
UGCAGUCGAACGGAAAGGCCCUUCGGGGUGCUCGAGUGGCGAACGGGUGAGUAACACGUGGGUGAUCUGCCCUGCACUUUGGGAUAAGCCUGGGAAACUGGGUCUAAUACCGAAUAGGACUCCGGCCUUCAUGGGUUGGGGUGGAAAGCUUUUGCGGUGUGGGAUGGGCCCGCGGCCUAUCAGCUUGUUGGUGGGGUAAUGGCCUACCAAGGCGACGACGGGUAGCCGGCCUGAGAGGGUGACCGGCCACACUGGGACUGAGAUACGGCCCAGACUCCUACGGGAGGCAGCAGUGGGGAAUAUUGCACAAUGGGCGCAAGCCUGAUGCAGCGACGCCGCGUGAGGGAUGACGGCCUUCGGGUUGUAAACCUCUUUCAGCACAGACGAAGCGCAAGUGACGGUAUGUGCAGAAGAAGGACCGGCCAACUACGUGCCAGCAGCCGCGGUAAUACGUAGGGUCCGAGCGUUGUCCGGAAUUACUGGGCGUAAAGAGCUCGUAGGUGGUUUGUCGCGUUGUUCGUGAAAACUCACAGCUUAACUGUGGGCGUGCGGGCGAUACGGGCAGACUGGAGUACUGCAGGGGAGACUGGAAUUCCUGGUGUAGCGGUGGAAUGCGCAGAUAUCAGGAGGAACACCGGUGGCGAAGGCGGGUCUCUGGGCAGUAACUGACGCUGAGGAGCGAAAGCGUGGGGAGCGAACAGGAUUAGAUACCCUGGUAGUCCACGCCGUAAACGGUGGGUACUAGGUGUGGGUUUCCUUCCUUGGGAUCCGUGCCGUAGCUAACGCAUUAAGUACCCCCGCCUGGGGGAGUACGGCCGCAAGGGCUAAAACUCAAGGAAAAUUGAACGGG